CAGCCGCCACGGUAAUACGUAGGGUGCGAGCGUUAAUCGGAAUUACUGGGCGUAAAGCGUGCGCAGGCGGUUAUAUAAGACAGAUGUGAAAUCCCCGGGCUCAACCUGGGACCUGCAUUUGUGACUGUAUAGCUAGAGUACGGUAGAGGGGGAUGGAAUUCCGCGUGUAGCAGUGAAAUGCGUAGAUAUGCGGAGGAACACCGAUGGCGAAGGCAGCCCCCUGGGCCAAUACUGACGCUCAUGCGCGAAAGCGUGGGGAGCAAACAGGAUUAGAUACCCCAGUAGUCCCUGUCUCUUAUAC
Molecule: ribosomal RNA, 301 nt
Filed under: uncultured bacterium
Lineage: Bacteria
Description: partial 16S ribosomal RNA
Rfam family: Bacterial small subunit ribosomal RNA
Source: RNAcentral